RNAcentral lists this ribosomal RNA (314 nucleotides) under uncultured bacterium. Its description in RNAcentral is "bacterial SSU rRNA". It matches the Rfam family "Bacterial small subunit ribosomal RNA", at positions 32 to 353 of the family's 1533-position model. The record is from RNAcentral.
AAUCAACGCUGGCGGCGUGCCUAACACAUGCAAGUCGAACGAGAAAGUGGAGCAAUCCAUGAGUAAAGUGGCGCACGGGUGAGUAACACGUGACUAACCUACCCUUGAGUGGGGAGUAACCUCGGGAAACCGGGGCGUAAUACCGCAUAACACCGAGAGGUCAAAGGAAGCAAUUCGCUUAAGGAGGGGGUCGGCGGCUGAUUAGCUAGUUGGUGAGGUAAUGGCUCACCAAGGCGAUGAUCAGUAUCCGGCCUGAGAGGGCGCACGGACACACUGGAACUGAAACACGGUCCAGACUCCUACGGGAGGCAGCA